RNAcentral lists this ribosomal RNA (478 nucleotides) under uncultured bacterium. Its description in RNAcentral is "partial 16S ribosomal RNA". It matches the Rfam family "Bacterial small subunit ribosomal RNA", at positions 28 to 507 of the family's 1533-position model. The record is from RNAcentral.
GACGAACGCUGGCGGCGUGCUUAACACAUGCCAGUCGAACGGGAUUUAGUAAACGGAAGCCUCGGUGGAAGAUUACUAAUGAGAGUGGCGAACGGGUGAGUAACGCGUGAGCAACCUGCCUAUGACAGUGGGAUAGCCUCGGGAAACCGGGAUUAAUACCGCAUAAAAUCGUAGAAACACAUGUUUCAACGGUCAAAGAUUUAUCGGUCAUGGAUGGGCUCGCGUCUGAUUAGCUAGUUGGUGAGAUAACAGCCCACCAAGGCGACGAUCAGUAGCCGGUCUGAGAGGAUGAACGGCCACAUUGGAACUGAGACACGGUCCAAACUCCUACGGGAGGCAGCAGUGGGGAAUAUUGCACAAUGGGGGAAACCCUGAUGCAGCGACGCCGCGUGAACGAAGAAGGUAUUCGUAUCGUAAAGUUCUGUCCUAUGGGAAGAUAAUGACAGUACCAUAGAAGAAAGCUCCGGCUAAAUACGUG